This 564-nucleotide ribosomal RNA is filed under the name uncultured Glomeromycotina. Its description in RNAcentral is "SSU rRNA". It matches the Rfam family "Eukaryotic small subunit ribosomal RNA", at positions 548 to 1114 of the family's 1831-position model. The record is from RNAcentral. Lineage: Eukaryota; Fungi; Glomeromycota.
UUGGAGGGCAAGUCUGGUGCCAGCAGCCGCGGUAAUUCCAGCUCCAAUAGCGUAUAUUAAAUUUGUUGCAGUUAAAAAGCUCGUAGUUGAAUUUCGGGAUCAGAGUGUCGGUCGUGCCUCGGUACGAACUGGUAUUAUUGGUUCCUACCUUCUGAAGAACCGCGAUGUCAUUAAUUUGGUGUCGUGGGGAAUCAGGACUGUUACUUUGAAAAAAUUAGAGUGUUUAAAGCAGGCUUACGCUUGAAUACAUUAGCAUGGAAUAAUGAAAUAGGACGUUUGAUUCUAUUUUGUUGGUUUCUAGGAUUGACGUAAUGAUUAAUAGGGAUAGUUGGGGGCAUUAGUAUUCAAUUGUCAGAGGUGAAAUUCUUGGAUUUAUUGAAGACUAACUACUGCGAAAGCAUUUGCCAAGGAUGUUUUCAUUAAUCAAGAACGAAAGUUAGGGGAUCGAAGACGAUCAGAUACCGUCGUAGUCUUAACCAUAAACUAUGCCGACUAGGGAUCGGAUGAUGUUAAUUUUUUAAUGACUCAUUCGGCGCCUUACGGGAAACCAAAGUGUUUGGGUUC